CUCCCCUGUCUGGUGGGGUGGGAGACCGGUGGCUGCUCCCGCCGAGCUGAGAGCCACGUAGGGCACCCCAUGUGCUCACUACGCAUCUGGGAUGGCACCCCUGCCCUGAGGGCCCCGCAGAGUCCCACCCUUCCUGCAACCAGCCCCCCCAGAGCCAUUAAACCACCCACAAAUCCUGCCCCAACACCCCCACAGGCCCCAAAACGCCUCCGAGCCCUGCCGCAAUGUUGUCACUGACUCCAGACCUUCCCCUGCACUCUGUGCAAGGCCCCAAACAUUCCUCAAACUGCUGCCAGACCCAGUGCCCGCAGCAGUGAGGCGUUCUAACAAAGAUGGGGUGCGAUGUGCGUCUCCGCCUCGACUCAGUCCCGCUUUAGAGAAACAGGAAGUUACAGCACUUCCUGGUGAAGAGUGUUGACGGGUGAAUGUGCGGAUGACAAAGAGACUUUUCUCUCUUUUCUUCUGAGCCGCCUCUCAGAAGCCUCUGUGUGUGCACGAUGUGGCUGAUCUGGGAUAAUCGUGCUGUGCGCAGUGCUUAAGGAGAACAUUGCCCUAAAAUGGAGGGCUAAGGAAUAGCCUAAAAAACCUAAAAGGCUCGGGAAGAGCAAAAGAGAACACCGAUGGGCUCUGGGAAGCCCCAGUGAUGCUAGCGAAAACAGCGUGGCUUUUAGGCACCUCCUCAGAGCAGCAGCAAUGUCUCGCUCCAGCCUAUGGGACAAUGGGGACUCUUAAUUACCGCCUUGAAUUACCACAAGUGUUGCAAAAGCAGAAGGGACUAGGGAGCAUGCAGAGCAGGUUAUGGACUAUAUGUCAAGUUUAAACAAGCAACAAGCCCCUCUGCAAACAGAAACAGGUUUAGCCCUAAGUAAUAGAGGAAGGUAGCUGUGAGUAACGUGAAGCGAAGCGGUGACGUCAGUCACCCCGAAAGCCUCGGAGAAGCGGUCUGAAAAUCUGGUACCCUCGCGACCUCGGCAGUCUUUUUGGUUUGUUUGGCAGGGUAGCCCACCGAAGGGGGACAUCUCGAAGAGAAGCAGCAAGACCUGGGGAUCCGGUGGUUCAUUUUGGUCGUCGCCUGUGAGGCCAGCAUGCAAGAGUAAGAGGAAGCUAGGAGCAGUCUCAAAAAGAGAUGGAACCGAGGACAGCAAAUGCUGACGAGGAGAAGAGACGGACGAGCGUUUGCUUGCGGUUAAUACCGAAGGGACGGGAUGAAACAAGGAAGCCAGAAUGCAGCGGCCCCUCGAUAUCACCAGGAACUGCUACAGGAGGAGGCGUUCUGGCACGGGUAACUAGGAUUAAUUGCCACGGCUGAAGUUGAAGAGACCAAGAAACGUAAGCCCCGAAGGGGCACAUCUUGAAGAGAGGGGGCUAGACCUAGCGAUCCAGUUGUUCGUUUUGGUCGUCGCCUGUGAGGCCAGCAUGCAAGAGUAAGAGGAAGCUAGGAGCAGUCUCAAAAAGGUAAUAGGUCUGAAAGGGAGACAGGCAAAUCGAGGGCUGUCGUUCCUCCACGUAGUUAAAGACCGAGAGAGUUGUGGGUUAAGCGCAUGCAUACGAGGGUUUGCGAACAGUAACAAUAACACUGAAGCGGAAUAAAAAUAAGGUUUCGUGGAAGAUGGCGUUAGGAAGGUAUUAGGCGACGUGCCCGCCUGCCUAAUAACCUAGCCCUAAUUGCUGUGUGUAACGUUUCCAGACCGUUUACCCUGCAACGUAUGGUGCAAAGUGCCAUAUUAAGACCUUUCCCUUAAGGAAAAGAAGAAGAAAAAAAAGAAAAAAAAGGGGGAAAAAGAAAACAGGGUAAAGAGAAAAAGA
Long non-coding RNA from Dromaius novaehollandiae (emu), 1806 nucleotides. RefSeq lists it as uncharacterized. Lineage: Eukaryota; Metazoa; Chordata; Aves; Casuariiformes; Dromaiidae. The transcript is spliced from 3 exons. The record is from RefSeq and is a predicted model, not a curated record.